UCAGAGCUUUUUCGGUAAUUGAAGAAAGGUUUCUGUAAUUACUAAACAGGUAAUUGCAGAAACACCCACAACACUUUCACUGCAAAAAAAUCCUCAUGUCAUUGACACAAUCUGAAAACUAAGACGCUGACUUUAUCCACUACGAAGCGCGUGUGAGCACCGCACUGAGGGACACCUUUUCCAGGCAGCCCCGCGGAUUAAGUCGGGGCAACGGCACCGCGCAACCAUUCACCGUCCCGGAGCAAGCAGCCCGACAGAUCGUGCGAGUCAAGAGGGGCAGACAGGCUGGCAGCCAACCGAGAGCUGGGCCCGCGUUUGCCCGGCCGGGCGCGGGUCGCCACCGUGGCGAGCCGGCACGGGCGCGACUCCGGCGCAAUCGACCGCCAUCCGCGCUCCCGGGGACAUCCAGUCCCUGGAGAGCAAGCCUGAUUCUGCCUCGGACCCUACUCCACCUAAAGCCAGAAUCUUGGAGCGCUGGGACUGUGGCACCACUACGUUCUGGGGCUCGACCCAAAUUCCCCAAGUCUAGUCCAGCACCUACCACCACUUCCUACCUUCAUCUCGAAGCUACCGAUCGCCCUCUAGGCGCCACGAAAAAGAGACCCGACUUCCGCUUAGUCCAGGUCACAUAGAGCUUUCAGUUCUCGCGAGAGCACAGACGCUUGGGAAAGCAGAAGUCGCCGGACUGUCUGCUGUGGCUGACUCUCGGCAGUGAGGUACCCUUUCACUGCGGGGUGCGUCCUGCACCCUCGAUUCUGGACAAGGCCGGGCCCCUGCUCUGUACCUGAUGGCCUAAAUGUGGCAGCUUUAAAGCAGGAGGCCCCAUCCGGGGAUUGACUUCUCUCGGGCUGUCUCUCCGUCGAGCUCUGCGGGAAGAUUUCCAGCCCUUCCCUGGCCCCAGGGAUUCCUGAACUCCUGAAAGCCGAGGCUCGUUUUUUUCCUUUAAAAUACUGGGUCGCUAGGCUCGGUAGUGCACACACCUGUAAUCCCAGCACCUGGGAGGCUGAGUCAGAAGGAUCGUGGCGAGUUCGAGGCCAGCCUGGACUAUAUAGCGAGACCCCGUCGCAAAACAAAACACCCGAAAACCAGGGUCAUCCGCUUGGCUUUGCAGUGUUUUCUGCCUUAUCGCGGAAUGACACCCUCAGUCACCCUCCCGCAAAGUCAGUAGGUAUUAUCUCAAGUCCAGAUAAACAUUAUAUGUUCAGAUGCCUA
Heterocephalus glaber (naked mole-rat) is the source of this 1212-nucleotide non-coding RNA. The record is from RefSeq and is a predicted model, not a curated record. NCBI's taxonomy places the organism in Eukaryota, Metazoa, Chordata, Mammalia, Rodentia, Bathyergidae.